This 476-nucleotide ribosomal RNA is filed under the name uncultured bacterium. RNAcentral describes it as "bacterial SSU rRNA". It matches the Rfam family "Bacterial small subunit ribosomal RNA", at positions 30 to 508 of the family's 1533-position model. The record is from RNAcentral.
UGAACGCUGGCGGCAUGCCUUACACAUGCAAGUCGAACGGCAGCACGGGUGCUUGCACCUGGUGGCGAGUGGCGAACGGGUGAGUAAUAUAUCGGAACGUACCUUAUUGUGGGGGAUAACGCAGCGAAAGCUGUGCUAAUACCGCAUAAUCCCUUAGGGGGAAAGCGGGGGACCGUAAGGCCUCGCGCAAUUAGAGCGGCCGAUACCUGAUUAGCUAGUUGGUGAGGUAAAGGCUCACCAAGGCAACGAUCAGUAGCUGGUCUGAGAGGACGAUCAGCCACACUGGGACUGAGACACGGCCCAGACUCCUACGGGAGGCAGCAGUGGGGAAUUUUGGACAAUGGGGGAAACCCUGAUCCAGCAAUGCCGCGUGAGUGAAGAAGGCCUCGGUUGUAAGCUCUUUGUCAGGAGAACAGCAGCUCUAACACAGUUGUCGAAUGACGGUACCUGAAGAAUAAGCACGGCUAACUAUGCGC